RNAcentral lists this ribosomal RNA (609 nucleotides) under Providencia rettgeri. RNAcentral describes it as "partial 23S ribosomal RNA". It matches the Rfam family "Bacterial large subunit ribosomal RNA", at positions 1084 to 1693 of the family's 2925-position model. Lineage: Bacteria; Pseudomonadati; Pseudomonadota; Gammaproteobacteria; Enterobacterales; Morganellaceae. The record is from RNAcentral.
CUCAGACAGCCAGGAUGUUGGCUUAGAAGCAGCCAUCAUUUAAAGAAAGCGUAAUAGCUCACUGGUCGAGUCGGCCUGCGCGGAAGAUGUAACGGGGCUAAACUAUGCACCGAAGCUGCGGCAGCGAUAUGUAAAUAUUGUUGGGUAGGGGAGCGUUCUGUAAGCCUGUGAAGGUGUGCUGUGAGGCAUGCUGGAGGUAUCAGAAGUGCGAAUGCUGACAUAAGUAACGAUAAUGCGGGUGAAAAACCCGCACGCCGGAAGACCAAGGGUUCCUGUCCAACGUUAAUCGGGGCAGGGUGAGUCGACCCCUAAGGCGAGGCAGAAAUGCGUAGUCGAUGGGAAACGGGUUAAUAUUCCCGUACUGGUGAUAAUUGCGAUGGGGGGACGGAGAAGGCUAGGCUAUCCGGGCGACGGUUGUCCCGGUUUAAGGAUGUAGGCAGGUGAAUUAGGCAAAUCCGGUUCACUAUAUGCUGAGGUCCGACGACGAGUCACUACGGUGAUGAAGUAGCUCAUGCCCCGCUUCCAGGAAAAGCCUCUAAGCUCUAGAUUAUCAUUAAUCGUACCCCAAACCGACACAGGUGGUCAGGUAGAGAAUACUCAGGCGCUUGA